UUAAUUCACGAUUUAAAAAAAAAAAUCGUAAACUUUAUUUUUUUUGACAAUAAAGUCAUAAUUACCGGCUAACCGGCAACAAAUGGUAAGCAUGUCAAAAACUUACGGUAGUUAGGACUUUACUGUCAAAAAAAUAAACUUUAUGAUUUUUUUUGUCAAAACGUUGAAAAUAUUAGGACUUUAGUGUAUAUAUUCCUAUCAACAAAAACCAUUGUAAAAUUCAUGAUUUAAAUGUUUUUUUGUCUUAUAUAUAAGUUCAUGAAACGCCAUUGAAGAUGUGGCUCAUGAAAAUGUGACAGCGCUCAAGGUUCAAGCAAGAAGAGAUGAACCGACAAGGGUGGUUUCCACGAUGACUGCUGCAAUAAGUUAAAGUAAGGUGUGAAGAUGUUUGAAGCAGAUGGUCAAGUGUUGCGCGACGCAGGACAUGCGCAACAGUUUUCAAGUCAGAAGCCUUCUGAAAAACAAACAACUACGAAUGGCCAAAUGAUAUGUGUGUGUUCUGUGCGACGCAACAAUAAGUGGUCAGAAGUGGUUUUUUAAGAAAAAAAAACACCACCUAAGAGUUUGCUCGAUGUUAUCUAGAAAAUGAUGUAACAUGUGGUUUCCUCCAUGAAAGUCACUUGUGAACAUAAUAUGGUUCAAAACUUCGAUCAAUCUUUUAUCAACAAAAUACAUACAUACCCUUAAAAGAUUGAUAAAUGUUAAGAUUAGAAGGGAAGUCUUUUCAAGUAUUUUCGGUCAAAAUGAAGCCAAAAAUUGUGGCAGAAAAUGAUUGAACUGAUCAAUGAAACAAAACAAAAUCAAAAUCGGGGACCAAUAUCUAAUGGCCUGUUAACUUUGUGGGUUGAAUAAACCAAAAUCGGAUAAACUGAUAAUCGAGUUCCCGGGCACAAAAAAAAAGAA
Long non-coding RNA from Lactuca sativa (garden lettuce), 903 nucleotides. RefSeq lists it as uncharacterized. NCBI's taxonomy places the organism in Eukaryota, Viridiplantae, Streptophyta, Magnoliopsida, Asterales, Asteraceae. The record is from RefSeq and is a predicted model, not a curated record.